Lontra canadensis (Northern American river otter) is the source of this 542-nucleotide long non-coding RNA. RefSeq lists it as uncharacterized. The transcript has 3 exons. The record is from RefSeq and is a predicted model, not a curated record. Lineage: Eukaryota; Metazoa; Chordata; Mammalia; Carnivora; Mustelidae.
GCAUGUGUGUGACCUUCCGUGCUUCGUGAACGCUUCUGGAUUUCAGUAAAACGCCUGCCAGUGUUUGGAAAAGAAAUACAUUAUUUAAAAGCCUGUGGCCAAUCUUGCCUACUGGGAUAUUAGGGAACAAACUUAUAGUUACGCCUCGAGGUAGGAGAGAAUGAAAAAGGUGGAUGUGGGGAUCACUGAAGAGGCAGACAACAUGGGGCUCAUGUUGGCCACUGAGUGGAGCCCCAAUAUUCCCUGAAGAGAGUGGACUCUAGAUUCUCUAGACCCUCUAUGUGAGGUUCUGCCUCUACUCGAUGGUCCUGCAUAGAGAUGGAAUGCAUUUGGACUCUGUCGCUUGUAUGCGGUGACUUUGUUCCUGUUCCCCAGAAGGUGUGUGGCAUUUGGAAGUCACUCUCCCUCUCUGUGGUUCUUUGGAAGACUCUAACACAGUUUGCGAUCUAGACACCAAAGACUGAAAUCCCCAGAGAGCCAUCCUAACACACGCCCUCCCCUUCCAUCAAGUUCUUCCCAUGCACAGUAAUUCCUAGUUAAGG